Long non-coding RNA from Ailuropoda melanoleuca (giant panda), 528 nucleotides. RefSeq lists it as uncharacterized. NCBI's taxonomy places the organism in Eukaryota, Metazoa, Chordata, Mammalia, Carnivora, Ursidae. The record is from RefSeq and is a predicted model, not a curated record. The transcript is spliced from 3 exons.
AGGCAAGGCGUGGGAAGAGGAAGAGAGACUCCUGUCCGGUGGGUGGCAGAGAAGAACCAGGAAGAGAUGAGGGAGUUGAAGAGUCUCUGCACCUUUGGUAGGACGCAGAGUAAGCCAAGGCACCGCCUGCCUGAGUAAAGAGGCAGUGAAGUCAGAGUGGGAAACGCAUCUAUCCUGCCUGUCCCUACCAUGGGCUUCUUGUUCCUCUGCUGUGUGGCCUUUUGUCUCUUGAGAACAGGCUCCAUGGAUGCUGGCAUUACCCAGACCCCAAAGAAUGGGAUUAUAAAGACAGGAAAGAGCAUUUUACUGGAGUGUUCUCAGACGAAGGGCCAUGACUAUAUGCACUGGUAUCGACAAGACCCAGGACUGGGGCUACAGCUGAUCUACUAUUCCUACGUCAAUGAUAUUAACGAAGGAGAGGUCUCCCAUGGGUACAAGGCCUCUCGAGAGGACCUGUCGAAAUUUUCCCUGUCCCUAGGCUCUGCCAUCCCCAACCAGACAGCGCUUUACUUCUGUGCCAUCAGUGAU